GAUGAACGCUGGCGGCGUGCUUAACACAUGCAAGUCGAACGAUGAAGCCCAGCUUGCUGGGUGGAUUAGUGGCGAACGGGUGAGUAACACGUGAGUAACCUGCCCUUGACUCUGGGAUAAGCCUGGUAAACUGGGUCUAAUACUGGAUAUGACUUCUCAUCGCAUGGUGGGGGGUGGAAAGAUUUAUUGGUCUUGGAUGGACUCGCGGCCUAUCAGCUUGUUGGUGAGGUAAUGGCCCACCAAGGCGACGACGGGUAGCCGGCCUGAGAGGGUGACCGGCAACACUGGGACUGAGAAACGGCCCAGACGCAUACGGGAGGCAGCAGUGGGGAAUAUUGCACAAUGGGCGCAAGCCUGAUGCAGCGACGCCGGGUGAGGGAUGACGGCCUUCGGGUUGUAAACCGCUUUCAGGAGGGAAGAAGCGAGAGUGACGGUACCUGCAGAAGAAGCGCCGGCUAACUACGUG
Molecule: ribosomal RNA, 466 nt
Filed under: uncultured bacterium
Lineage: Bacteria
Description: partial 16S ribosomal RNA
Rfam family: Bacterial small subunit ribosomal RNA
Source: RNAcentral